GAACCUGUCUCAACAUCUGUCUAUAAGGAACAGAAUUAUGGGCUCUCACACCUAUCUUCUCAAGAAGAAAUGUCAGGCCUGUCAUUCCAGAUUGCUUCAAUGGAUGAAAACGGGACUCUCAAUCUGUGGAAAUGCUAUGACUUGACUCCCUAAACACAACGUUCCAGUAAGGCAGAACU
RNAcentral lists this long non-coding RNA (179 nucleotides) under Chelonoidis abingdonii (Abingdon island giant tortoise). Its description in RNAcentral is "lncRNA (ENSCABG00000020262.1)". Lineage: Eukaryota; Metazoa; Chordata; Testudines; Testudinidae. The record is from RNAcentral.